AGCAGCAUGGCGCAGUGGUAGCGCGCGGGGCCCAUAUACACUUUGUACCUCACAGUUGGUAUCUUUUCGGAACCCCGAGGUCACUUGAUCGAAACAAGUUGCUGCUA
Molecule: non-coding RNA, 107 nt
Organism: Gymnopus androsaceus JB14
Lineage: Eukaryota; Fungi; Basidiomycota; Agaricomycetes; Agaricales; Omphalotaceae
Source: the annotation of a GenBank genome assembly